UGGAGCAUGUGGUUUAAUUCGACGCAACGCGAAGAACCUUACCAGCUCUUGACAUGUCAGGUCGGUUUCCAGAGAUGGAUUCCUCCCCAGCAAUGGGCCUGAACACAGGUGCUGCAUGGCUGUCGUCAGCCCGUGUCGUGAGAUGUUGGGUUAAGUCCCGCAACGAGCGCAACCCUCGCCAUUAGUUGCCAUCAUUAAGUUGGGCACUCUAGUGGGACUGCCGGUGAUAAGCCGGAGGAAGGUGGGGAUGACGUCAAGUCAUCAUGGCCCUUACGGGCUGGGCUACACACGUGCUACAAUGGCGGUGACAGUGGGCAGCAACUCAGCAAUGGGGAGCUAAUCUCAAAAAGCCGUCUCAGUUCGGAUUGGGGUCUGCAACUCGACCCCAUGAAGUCGGAAUCGCUAGUAAUCGCGGAUCAGCACGCCGCGGUGAAUACGUUCCCGGGCCUU
This 450-nucleotide ribosomal RNA is filed under the name uncultured Hyphomicrobiaceae bacterium. RNAcentral's name for it is "bacterial SSU rRNA". It matches the Rfam family "Bacterial small subunit ribosomal RNA", at positions 933 to 1382 of the family's 1533-position model. The record is from RNAcentral. Lineage: Bacteria; Pseudomonadati; Pseudomonadota; Alphaproteobacteria; Hyphomicrobiales; Hyphomicrobiaceae.